RNAcentral lists this transfer RNA (71 nucleotides) under Bos taurus (domestic cattle). It matches the Rfam family "tRNA". Rfam says of the family: Transfer RNA (tRNA) molecules are approximately 80 nucleotides in length. Their secondary structure includes four short double-helical elements and three loops (D, anti-codon, and T loops). Lineage: Eukaryota; Metazoa; Chordata; Mammalia; Artiodactyla; Bovidae. The record is from Rfam by way of RNAcentral. RNAcentral also lists the same sequence under 4 other names.
UCUCAGGUGACUUAGUGGUAAAGAAGCUGCCUCCAGUGCAGGAGACACAGGUUCAAUCCCUGGGUUGGGAA